AUUGAACGCUGGCGGCAGGCCUAACACAUGCAAGUCGAACGAGUGGCGGACGGGUGAGUAAUGUCUGGGAAACUGCCUGAUGGAGGGGGAUAACUACUGGAAACGGUAGCUAAUACCGCAUACCCUCGGAUGUGCCCAGAUGGGAUUAGCUAGUAGGUGGGGUAAAGGCUCACCAAGGGGACGACCCCUAGAUGGUCUGAGAGGAUGGCCAGCCACACGGGAACUGAGACAGGGUCAAGACUCCUAAGGAGGGCAGCGGUGGGGAAUAUUGCGCAAGGGGGGAAAGGCGGAUACAGCCAGGCCGCGUGAAUGAAGAAGGCCUUCGGUUUGUAAAGUACAUUCGGCGGGGAGGCGUUACCAGCAGAAGAAGCACCGGCUAACUCCGUGCCAGCAGCCGCGGUAAUAC
RNAcentral lists this ribosomal RNA (406 nucleotides) under uncultured bacterium. RNAcentral describes it as "partial 16S ribosomal RNA". It matches the Rfam family "Bacterial small subunit ribosomal RNA", at positions 29 to 526 of the family's 1533-position model. The record is from RNAcentral.